AUGGCGGGGGAGCUCCGCGGCGCUCUCUGCCGCACCCCGGCGAGGGCUCCCGCAUCCGGGGUCGGGAGCGACGAGAACGCGCGGCCUGCCGGAGCUUCGACUCCCGCCCCAGCGGAGCCCGUCGCGGCCUCCCGGCCCCCCCUCCGGGCUAUCCAGUCACCGGGGCAGCCCCGGCGGCCGGUGCCGACGCCCAAGAAGGGUCUGAGGGUCAGGGCAGCGGGCAAGACACCGGCGCGGGUCGGCGCGGCGACCACUCCCCUUCGCCCGACCAAGAUCCUGGGGGAGCCGAAGCCGGUGCCGAGGUUGGGGUUCACGACGACGGGGGCCAGUUCUGCGCAGGUCCAACGUUCCAAGCUCCGAGACUCCAUCUUGCUCCGGGAGGAGAAUCGCAGUGUGCAGAAUGUUUCGUCAGCAUUGCAGCAAGAUGACUCUCAUGCACCUGCAAAGGAACAAGACAACUCAGAAGAUGCAUUGAGCCUGCAGCUGGAGUUGGCCAUAACCAAAACAAUUCUUCUGGAGGAGGUAAAAGCCCGAGCUGAAGCUGACGUCAGGGAAACUGCUGUAGGUGAUGAGCUGAAAGCAGCAAAUUUACGUACCCUUGAAGCUUGCAGGCAGAAGGAAACCACAGAAAAAGAACUGAAAUACACAACAUCUGUUUUAGAGGCCCUUGAAUCGGAGCACGUUGUUUUGAUAAAGGAACUAGAGGAGCUGAAGAAGAAGAAUUUCCAAAGCCCGGUAUUUCGUAAGAAGAGGGAUGUGGAAACUCUGAUGUUAAACACUGAGCUUGAGCAAGAAAUGGAUGAAAUCCACAGGCAGGCUAUGUGUGAAACGUCUGAGGUGAUUAUAUCCUUACAAAAAUAG
RNAcentral lists this ribosomal RNA (861 nucleotides) under Triticum aestivum (bread wheat). Its description in RNAcentral is "partial small subunit ribosomal RNA". The record is from RNAcentral. Lineage: Eukaryota; Viridiplantae; Streptophyta; Magnoliopsida; Poales; Poaceae.